Molecule: long non-coding RNA, 1476 nt
Organism: Mauremys reevesii (Reeves's turtle)
Lineage: Eukaryota; Metazoa; Chordata; Testudines; Geoemydidae
Exons: 2
Source: RefSeq, a predicted model, not a curated record
UCCACUGAAAUCAAAGACAAAAUAUCUACUCCAAAGGCACGUGAGGAGAAUAAAAACUUCCUUUCCCCCUGUAGUUACUGGAAAACUUAGGGAAUCUUUUAAAACAACAACAACAACAACCCUGCAAAUGUUGAGGGCUCUCACUGAGAGAUGCGUCGCUUUCUUAUUAAUGGACUGAUCUUGCGAUGAAGUGAAAUACAGAAAUGGAACAAAUGAUCGGGCUGCGGCCAGUGGCAUGGGAAGGAUGUUAACCCCACAUGACUUUAGUAGGAACGUGUCUAACGUCCAGCAGAUACAUUUGAAACAGUCACUUACUUUCAUUCUCUUCCACAGGCUUGAGAGUGGCCAUCAUGGUUAUUCAGUGCUAUUUACAAACUCAGUGCCACGGUGGGAUCACCAUGCUGCUUGUGUGGACUUUAAUUUCUGUGGGUUUGUUUUCUUUUCACUCAUGGAAGGCGCAGACCCGCCUUGCUGGUGCACCCAAAACUCCCAUUAACUACAAUGGGAGACUUGGAUGCGAAAGGGAAAACAGUAUUGGCUCCAUAUAUAUUCUUAAUCCAGAGAGACAUCUGGCAUCCUGAGAGAUCCCAUUAAAGAAGAAACCUGACUGCUCUGUGUGUGUUUAGCCCUUUUGCAAGUCCUAACAGAAUCACAAGCAAACCCAGUCAGGAGAAAUCAAAGGUAAAUCUUUAUUCGACGAUUUACAAGUUGAGUUACAAAAGUAGACUUAUUUUGCAAUAACACAAAACGGUAUUGACCUUCUUAAGUGUUACGAUGAUGAGCAUCGUCCCAUCAUUUUAGCUUAAAUAAGAAAGCGCUUAAAAUUGCCUCCAGUAAUGAUCUGAACACAGAGAAACUAAACUAAAUAACGUUAUAACAAGACAUUUACAGGGGAAUGUCUUUUUAGUGUGUUAUAAUGCAAAGAGAGACAACGCAACUAUUUUUCUCCACCCCGAAUAUCAAAUCCAGGACCGCUACCCAAGUUAAAUGCUGGAUAAUAACAAAAAGAAAUCAAAUAAAUUAGAAUAUUGUUUGCAAACUGAAUUGCCAUUGAUAAGUAAUGACACCACUGCCGGCUACUGGCAUAAAAUGUACCAUCCAGGGGAAAUAAAGCGGAUUGAUCAGAUUCUAACGCCGAUGUAGCAGACUGCACACUGCGCACUGAAAUGAAAUAUGUCAUUUUCUCCCCGUUUUAAAAUUCGAACACCUACAAGGUUUGCCAAUCGGUUGCGCUUAAGGAACAUUCAAUACAUGUUAGUUCCAAGUGCAGGCGAUCCUGUGUUGAAUAUAAACAUAAAAUAGAGGAUUGUAACGUAUCGUAUCCAUUCUGCAUUGCAACGGAUAGAAGCAAGACACGGGUUAAUUUCAAGGACAGAUUUGCCCUCAGUGUAUUUUCUUUGUUGCGAUCAGUUAAACAGUGGGGAUGUUUUAAAUCUUAAAAUGUACAGUCAUUGGAAAAUACACAAUGACAAUCAA